This 786-nucleotide ribosomal RNA is filed under the name uncultured bacterium. RNAcentral describes it as "bacterial SSU rRNA". It matches the Rfam family "Bacterial small subunit ribosomal RNA", at positions 505 to 1368 of the family's 1533-position model. The record is from RNAcentral.
GUGCCAGCAGCCGCGGUAAUACGGAGGAUCCGAGCGUUAUCCGGAUUUAUUGGGUUUAAAGGGAGCGUAGGUGGAUUGUUAAGUCAGUUGUGAAAGUUUGCGGCUCAACCGUAAAAUUGCAGUUGAAACUGGCAGUCUUGAGUACAGUAGAGGUGGACGGAUUUCGUGGUGUAGCGGUGAAAUGCUUAGAUAUCACGAGGAACUCCGUUUGCGAAGGCAGCUCACUAGACUGCAACUGACACUGAUGCUCGAAAGUGUGGGUAUCAAACAGGAUUAGAUACCCUGGUAGUCCACACAGUAAACGAUGAAUACUCGCUGUUUGCAAGCGGCCAAGCGAAAGCAUUAAGUAUUCCACCUGGGGAGUACGCCGGCAACGGUGAAACUCAAAGGAAUUGACGGGGGCCCGCACAAGCGGAGGAACAUGUGGUUUAAUUCGAUGAUACGCGAGGAACCUUACCCGGGCUUAAAUUGAAGGUGCUGCAUGGUUGUCGUCAGCUCGUGCCGUGAGGUGUCGGCUUAAGUGCCAUAACGAGCGCAACCCUUAUCUUUAGUUACGACUCUAGAGAGACUGCCGUCGUAAGAUGGAGGAAGGUGGGGAUGACGUCAAAUCAGCACGGCCCUUACGUCCGGGGCUACACACGUGUUACAAUGGGGGGUACAGAAGGCAGCUACCUGGCGACAGGAUGCUAAUCCCAAAAACCUCUCUCAGUUCGGAUCGAAGUCUGCAACCCGACUUCGUGAAGCUGGAUUCGCUAGUAAUCGCGCAUCAGCAUGGCGCGGUGAAUA